Molecule: ribosomal RNA, 252 nt
Filed under: uncultured bacterium
Lineage: Bacteria
Description: partial 16S ribosomal RNA
Rfam family: Bacterial small subunit ribosomal RNA
Source: RNAcentral
UACGUAGGUGACAAGCGUUGUCCGGAUUUACUGGGCGUAAAGAGCGCGCAGGCGGUCGAUCAAGUCGAGUGUGAAAGCCCCCGGCUCAACUGGGGAGGGUCAUUCGAUACUGAUCGACUCGAAGGCAGGAGAGGGUAGUGGAAUUCCCGGUGUAGUGGUGAAAUGCGUAGAUAUCGGGAGGAACACCAGUGGCGAAGGCGACUACCUGGCCUGUUCUUGACGCUGAGGCGCGAAAGCUAGGGGAGCAACGGG